Long non-coding RNA from Hippocampus comes (tiger tail seahorse), 719 nucleotides. RefSeq lists it as uncharacterized. Lineage: Eukaryota; Metazoa; Chordata; Actinopteri; Syngnathiformes; Syngnathidae. The record is from RefSeq and is a predicted model, not a curated record. The transcript has 2 exons.
CAUGGUUAUUGCUUUUACCAAAUAAAUAUUGAACAUGGAAUUUGAUGGUGUCAAAACGCUCCUGAAAACCUGGCGCAGGCGGCAAAAAGACCGAGAAAGUUGGGGAAUGCUCAUCAAACACCUGCUUGGAACGUCCCACAGGUGAGCAGGCUAACUGAAAACAGGUGGAUGCCAUGAUUGCGUAGAAAAGGAGCUUCCUUGAAUUACUCGGUCAUCCACAAGAAAAGGUGGGGUGAGGUUUACCUCUCUGUUCACAGAAAAACUGUUCUGUGUUCUGACGAGUCCACAUUUCAAAUGUUUUUUGGAAAUUGUGGACAUCUUGUUCUCCGGACCAAGGAGUGAAAGAACCAUCAGGACUGUUGCAGAUGCAAAGUUCAAAAGUCAGCAUCUGUGACGGUCUGGGCCUGUGUCUGCACCAAUGGCGUGGGUAACUUACACACCUAUGAAGGCACCAUUAAUUUCAGUGUGGCUUCAAGGUAAAAGAGUGCAGAUACUAGACCGGCCUGCCUGCAGUCCAGACCUGUCUCCCGAUGUGUGGCGCAUUAAAAACAACAACGGAGACUGCUGAGAAGCUGCACAUCAAGCAAGAAAGGACUGCAGCCGUAAAAGUCCAAGUUAAUGGUUAUUUGCUAAAAGCAAUCAAGUUCAUCACAUUGAACAUUAAAUAUCUUGUCGUAGUAGUGUAUUCAAUUAAAUGGAGGUUGAACAUGUUUUGUAAA